GAACGUUGAGUCAAGGGAGCGCGCCAAGGAGCGUUGUCUUGAGGAGUUCAGAGGGUAAGGGUUGUACGUUACCUCAACUUGGCUCUAAACCAUGAAAUAUUUGGUUGACAGAAAACGUACAUA
Molecule: non-coding RNA, 123 nt
Filed under: unclassified sequences
Description: drum RNA
Rfam family: drum RNA
About the family: Firmicutes, Bacteroidetes (1 example), Proteobacteria (2 examples), Spirochaetes (2 examples). Terminator (Clostridia)
Source: Rfam by way of RNAcentral